RNAcentral lists this ribosomal RNA (497 nucleotides) under uncultured bacterium. Its description in RNAcentral is "partial 16S ribosomal RNA". It matches the Rfam family "Bacterial small subunit ribosomal RNA", at positions 28 to 507 of the family's 1533-position model. The record is from RNAcentral.
GAUGAACGCUGGCGGCGUGCCUAAUACAUGCAAGUCGAGCGAACAGAUAAGGAGCUUGCUCCUUUGACGUUAGCGGCGGACGGGUGAGUAACACGUGGGUAACCUACCUAUAAGACUGGGAUAACUUCGGGAAACCGGAGCUAAUACCGGAUAAUAUUUCGAACCGCAUGGUUCGAUAGUGAAAGAUGGUUUUGCUAUCACUUAUAGAUGGACCCGCGCCGUAUUAGCUAGUUGGUAAGGUAACGGCUUACCAAGGCGACGAUACGUAGCCGACCUGAGAGGGUGAUCGGCCACACUGGAACUGAGACACGGUCCAGACUCCUACGGGAGGCAGCAGUAGGGAAUCUUCCGCAAUGGGCGAAAGCCUGACGGAGCAACGCCGCGUGAGUGAUGAAGGUCUUCGGAUCGUAAAACUCUGUUAUUAGGGAAGAGCAUACGUGUAAGUAACUGUGCACGUCUUGACGGUACCUAAUCAGAAAGCCACGGCUAACUACGUG